Molecule: long non-coding RNA, 400 nt
Filed under: Rattus norvegicus (Norway rat)
Lineage: Eukaryota; Metazoa; Chordata; Mammalia; Rodentia; Muridae
Description: long non-coding RNA NONRATT004426
Source: RNAcentral
AGCGCUGCCCAGAAGAGCGACAAUGCCCGCCAGCAGCUGGAGCGACAAAACAAGGAGCUGAAGGCCAAGCUGCAGGAGCUGGAGGGGGCGGUCAAGUCCAAGUUCAAAGCCACCAUCUCAGCCCUGGAAGCCAAGAUUGGGCAGCUGGAGGAACAGCUGGAGCAGGAAGCCAAGGAACGCGCAGCUGCCAACAAACUAGUCCGUCGGACAGAGAAGAAACUGAAAGAGAUCUUCAUGCAGGUCGAAGACGAGCGCCGGCAUGCGGAUCAGUAUAAGGAGCAGGUAGGAGACAGCCAGGCGGGGUGAGGGUCGCACCGUGGACAUGUUUAAGCAAACAAGUCAGAGUUAAGAAUGCUUUGGGAAACUUUCUUCUAUAAGUUGUAAAAAAAAAAAAAAAAAA